UUCACAAAUAUUGCACCGUAGGGUAACAAUUUCCUCAUUAGUUGUGUAUUUUCCAUUUCAUCGAUAAUAAAAUUAUAUUUUCCCAUGACUAAUGGAAAAAUGUUUUAUCGCAUAAUGUCAAACAACAUACAAACAUAUGACUAGAAAUAAAAUACUAUCAAAUCAAGAACCUAACCAUAAAACAUCGAUUCACAUCUAAGAACUAUUUUAGAGAAACAAAUGUAAUCACAAUGUGUGUAUAUAAUAUAUAAUGGGUGGUGCUAUUCACACACCUCAUUUUACCUUCCUCACACACUUCUCAAUUUUCGACUCUUGGAUCAAAUGAAUUAAAGAAGAUAAAAUGACACAAAUUAACAUAUGGGUGUGAGAGCUAAAAAGAAAUGUGUGGAUAGAAG
This 395-nucleotide long non-coding RNA is filed under the name Malus domestica (apple). Its description in RNAcentral is "long non-coding RNA (MDOM_LNC012350)". Lineage: Eukaryota; Viridiplantae; Streptophyta; Magnoliopsida; Rosales; Rosaceae. The record is from RNAcentral.